GGCUAAACAAAUGCACGUACACCCACAACCAGGAUGGGUCCACUUAAUCAAAUACCGAAGGUCAAAAACUUGGUGAGGGAAGUGUUUGUUAAUAUAAGAGGUGAGUGUAUGCAUUUUAAAUGUUUCACUAUAGUCAGUGAGAGUAGCGAACUUGUUUUGGUAGUGUGACAUAGAAACAGAGCUUGCACUCUGCUUAGUCUGGUGAGAUUUGACCUUUGACCUGAAUACUUACAAAAAGAGAGAGAAGGAAAGCGGGAGAGGCCAUUGGGACACUGUCCUGUAGGAGGACAAACAGUUAGUGAGAAAAGAAACACACACACACACACAGUGACAUUUACCCCUUGUACACACACACAUCCAGAGUAAACAACACAAACAAGUACAGUCAUACAAACAAGACAACACAUUCAGACAGUCAAGUGAGAACACAGGAGUCAGUCGAAAUGGAGAGAAGAGAGACAGUACGGACAGACAAUACAAAUGGAGAGGGGAGCGACAGUAGAAACGGAGACAGUAGUGACAGUAGUAACGGAGACAGUAGACAGUAGUAACGGAGACAGUAGACAGUAGUAACGGAGACAGUAGACAGUAGUAACGGAGACAGUAGUAAUGGAGACAGGAGCGACAGUAGACAAACGGUAGUAACGGAGACAGUAGUAACGGAGACAGUAGACAGUAGUAACGGAGACAACAAACGGUAGUAACGGAGACAGUAGUAACGGAGACAGUAGACAGUAGUAACGGAGACAGUAGACAGUAGUAACGGAGACAGUAGA
Oncorhynchus tshawytscha (Chinook salmon) is the source of this 776-nucleotide long non-coding RNA. The record is from Ensembl. Lineage: Eukaryota; Metazoa; Chordata; Actinopteri; Salmoniformes; Salmonidae.